CACAGUGGUUGCCUAUGAUGGAGAAAGGAGAAUACGACCCUCCCAAAGGGUUCGAGGGAACUUUCUAGAGUGCUAGAAAUACUCUACAUCUUGACUGGGGGGGUGGAAGCAGAGUCUGCUUUCCUACGGAAUCCAGCUCCCAAAGGACACUUCAGGCAAGCGGAGGAAUUUGGAGUUGAGGUGGCCCUGGCUGGUGGAGGAAGUGUGCACGUGAGCCACAGACCAGAAGCCCUGAGCUCCAAGGCCAUGGCUGGCUGCCACCUGCCAUCUUGUGAGGCUGUGCAUUUAACCUCUCCCUGGCCCAGCUUCCUUGCAGUCUUAGGAUUCAAGGGGUUAAGGCACAUCAGAGCCUUUGAGAUAACCCAUGGACAAUUACAAUUACAAAUGCAGGUGUUGCUGCUAGGAUUGUCCUUUGUUCCCCCAGCAUCCAACUAAAAACAGUGGCCCCACAGGAGGAUAGAGUCACCCUCUAAGAGAAUGUGGUCUUUGCAAAAUAAAAGACGUCCUUUUAUUCACUCA
This is a long non-coding RNA of Canis lupus familiaris (dog), 519 nucleotides long. RefSeq lists it as uncharacterized. Lineage: Eukaryota; Metazoa; Chordata; Mammalia; Carnivora; Canidae. The record is from RefSeq and is a predicted model, not a curated record. The transcript is spliced from 3 exons.